This 987-nucleotide ribosomal RNA is filed under the name Plasmodium knowlesi. RNAcentral's name for it is "SSU rRNA". It matches the Rfam family "Eukaryotic small subunit ribosomal RNA", at positions 638 to 1428 of the family's 1831-position model. Lineage: Eukaryota; Apicomplexa; Aconoidasida; Haemosporida; Plasmodiidae. The record is from RNAcentral.
ACAUAACUGAUGCCUCCGCGUAUCGACUUUGUGCGCAUUUUAGCUAUUAUGUGUUCUUUUAAUUAAAAUGAUUCUUUUUAAGAUUCAUCUAUUAAAAAUUUGCUUCGGCAUAAUUUUUUUUGAUGAUCUUGUUACUUUGAGUAAAUUAGAGUGUUCAAAGCAAACAGAUAUAGCAUUUGUGCGUUUGAAUACUACAGCAUGGAAUAACAAAAUUGAACAAGUCAGAAUUUUUUUGUUCUUUUUUCUUAUUUUGGCUUAGUUACGAUUAAUAGGAGUAGCUUGGGGGCAUUUGUAUUCAGAUGUCGGAGGUGAAAUUCUUAGAUUUUCUGGAGACAAACAACUGCGAAAGCAUUUGCCUAAAAUACUUCCAUUAAUCAAGAAUGAAAGUUAAGGGAGUGAAGACGAUCAGAUACCGUCGUAAUCUUAACCAUAAACUAUGCCGACUAGGCUUUGGAUGAAAGAUUUUAAAAUAAGAGUUUUUCUUUUCUCUCCGGAGAUUAGAACUCUUAGAUUGCUUCCUUCAGUGCCUUAUGAGAAAUCAAAGUCUUUGGGUUCUGGGGCGAGUAUUCGCGCAAGCGAGAAAGUUAAAAGAAUUGACGGAAGGGCACCACCAGGCGUGGAGCUUGCGGCUUAAUUUGACUCAACACGGGAAAACUCACUAGUUUAAGACAAGAGUAGGAUUGACAGAUUAAUAGCUCUUUCUUGAUUUCUUGGAUGGUGAUGCAUGGCCGUUUUUAGUUCGUGAAUAUGAUUUGUCUGGUUAAUUCCGAUAACGAACGAGAUCUUAACCUGCUAAUUAGCGGCAAAUACGAUAUAUUCUUAUGUAGAAUUGAAUAUAGUGGAUUUGUUAGAUUUUGAAGAAAAUAUUGGAAUUACGUUAAAUGUGAUUCCUUUCCCUUUUCUACUUAAUUUACAUUUCCAUCUAUUUCUUUUUUGCGUAUGAAUGUAUUUGCUUGAUUGUAAAGCUUCUUAGAGGAACGAUGUGUG